Molecule: unclassified non-coding RNA, 148 nt
Organism: Macaca fascicularis (crab-eating macaque)
Lineage: Eukaryota; Metazoa; Chordata; Mammalia; Primates; Cercopithecidae
Rfam family: Metazoan signal recognition particle RNA
About the family: The signal recognition particle (SRP) is a universally conserved ribonucleoprotein.
Source: Ensembl
GCUGGGCGUGGUGGUGCAUGCCUGCAAUCCCAGCUACUCAGGAGGCUGAGGCAGGAGAAUCGCUUGAACCUGGGCAGCAGAGGUUGCAGUGAGCCGAGAUGGUGCCACUGCACUCCAGCCUGGGUGACAAAGUGAGAUUCUGUCUCAA